RNAcentral lists this long non-coding RNA (562 nucleotides) under Malus domestica (apple). RNAcentral describes it as "long non-coding RNA (MDOM_LNC006277)". Lineage: Eukaryota; Viridiplantae; Streptophyta; Magnoliopsida; Rosales; Rosaceae. The record is from RNAcentral.
CAGGUGUUGAUCUAUAACUCCAUCUGGUUCUUUCAGCUUAAGCUUUGACCUUUCAUGACUAUUAUCACAGUUUGAAGCAUUUUCGGUGACCACAGGUGCUUUCGUCUUGGCAUUCAUACCAUACAGAUCUUGACCUAUAUCUUCAUCUGGUUCUUUCAGCUUAAACUUUGACCUUUCAUGACUAUUAUCACAGUUUGAAGCAUUUCCGGUGACCACAGGUGCUUUCCUCUUGGCAUUCAUAACAUACAGGUGUUGAACUAUAUCUCCAUCUGGUUCUUUCAGCUUAAGCUUUGACCUUUCAUGACUAUUAUCACAGUUUGAAGCAUUUUCGGUGACCACAGGUGCUUUCGUCUUGGCAUUCAUACCAUACAGAUCUUGACCUAUAUCUCCAUCUGGUUCUUUCAGCUUAAACUUUGACCUUUCAUGACUAUUAUCACAGUUUGAAGCAUUUCCGGUGACCACAGGUGCUUUCCUCUUGGCAUUCAUAACAUACAGGUGUUGACCUAUAUCUCCAUCUGGUUCUUUCAGCUUAAGCUUUGACCUUUCAUGACUAUUAUCACAG